UACGAAGGGGGCUAGCGUUGCUCGGAAUGACUGGGCGUAAAGCGUGCGCAGGCGGUUCUAUAAGACAGAUGUGAAAUCCCCGGGCUCAACCUGGGAACUGCAUUUGUGACUGUAGAGCUGGAGUACGGCAGAGGGGAUGGAAUUCCGCGUGUAGCAGUGAAAUGCGUAGAUAUGCGGAGGAACACCGAUGGCGAAGGCAAUCCCCUGGGCCUGUACUGACGCUCAUGCACGAAAGCGUGGGGAGCAAACAGG
Molecule: ribosomal RNA, 252 nt
Filed under: uncultured bacterium
Lineage: Bacteria
Description: partial 16S ribosomal RNA
Rfam family: Bacterial small subunit ribosomal RNA
Source: RNAcentral